Molecule: ribosomal RNA, 262 nt
Filed under: uncultured bacterium
Lineage: Bacteria
Description: partial 16S ribosomal RNA
Rfam family: Bacterial small subunit ribosomal RNA
Source: RNAcentral
GUCCACGCCGUAAACGGUGGGUGCUAGUUGUGGGUUCCAUUCCACGGAAUCCGUGACGAAGUUAACACAUUAAGCACCCCGCCUGGGGAGUACGGUCGCAAGACUAAAACUCAAAGGAAUUGACGGGGGCCCGCACAAGCGGCGGAGCAUGCGGAUUAAUUCGAUGCAACGCGAAGAACCUUACCAAGACUUGACAUAUAGAGGAAAAGCUUAGAAAUAAGUUCCCCGCAAGGUCUCUAUACAGGUGGUGCAUGGUUGUCGU